CAGUCGCCGCGGUAAUACGGAGGGUGCAAGCGUUAAUCGGAAUUACUGGGCGUAAAGCGCACGCAGGCGGUCUGUCAAGUCGGAUGUGAAAUCCCCGGGCUCAACCUGGGAACUGCAUUCGAAACUGGCAGGCUAGAGUCUUGUAGAGGGGGGUAGAAUUCCAGGUGUAGCGGUGAAAUGCGUAGAGAUCUGGAGGAAUACCGGUGGCGAAGGCGGCCCCCUGGACAAAGACUGACGCUCAGGUGCGAAAGCGUGGGGAGCAAACAGGAUUAGAGACCCCGGUAGUCCCUGUCUCUUAUAA
RNAcentral lists this ribosomal RNA (301 nucleotides) under uncultured bacterium. Its description in RNAcentral is "partial 16S ribosomal RNA". It matches the Rfam family "Bacterial small subunit ribosomal RNA", at positions 509 to 809 of the family's 1533-position model. The record is from RNAcentral.